GAUAAACGCUGGCGGCGUGCCUAACACAUGCAAGUCGAACGCGCUCAGCAAGUGAGCGAGUGGCGGACGGGUGAGUAGCACGUGGGCAAUCUACCUUUCGGUGAGGAAUACCGGCGAGAAAUCGCCGACAAUACCGCAUAUCCUUGGCAACAAGGAAAGUCGCAAGACGCCGGAGGAGGAGCCUGCGCCCGAUUAGCUAGUUGGUGGGGUAAGAGCCUACCAAGGCGACGAUCGGUAGCUGGUCUGAGAGGAUGAUCAGCCACACUGGGAUUGAGAACGGCCCAGACUCCUACGGGGGCAGCAGUGAGGAAUUUUCGUCAAUGGGGCAACCCUGAACGAGCAACGCCGCGUGCAGGAUGAC
This 361-nucleotide ribosomal RNA is filed under the name uncultured bacterium. Its description in RNAcentral is "bacterial SSU rRNA". It matches the Rfam family "Bacterial small subunit ribosomal RNA", at positions 28 to 412 of the family's 1533-position model. The record is from RNAcentral.